CGUGGCGGUCAUAUACAUGUAAGUCGACGGAGAUUAUAGCAAUAUGAUCUUAGUGGCGAACGGGUGAGUAACGCGUUGGUGACCUGCCCCGAAGAUUGGGAUAACAGUUCGAAAGGGCUGCUAAUACCGAAUGAUCUCACGAAGAUUAGAGGCUUUGUGAGGAAAGGCGAAAGUCGCUUUGGGAGGGGCCUGCGUCCCAUCAGCUAGUUGGUAAGGUAAAAGCUUACCAAGGCGACGACGGGUAGGGGACCUGAGAGGGUGACCCCCCACACUGGCACUGAAACACGGGCCAGACACCUACAGGUGGCAGCAGUAGGGAAUAUUGCACAAUGGGCGAAAGCCUGAUGCAGCAACGCCGCGUGCGCGAUGAAGGCCUUCGGGUUGUAAAGCGCUUUUCUAGGAGAUGAGAAAGGACAGUAUCCUUGGAAUAAGGAUCGGCUAACUACGUGCCAGCAGCUGCGGUAAAACGUAGGAUCCGAGCGUUAUCCGAAUUCACUGGGCGUAAAGCGCGUGCAGGCGGCCCUGUAAGUUGGAUGUGAAAUCUCCCGGCUCAACUGGGAGGGGACGUUCAAUACUGUAGGGCUAGAGGGCGAUAGAGGGAGGUAGAAUUCCCGGUGUAGUGGUGAAAUGCGUAGAUAUCGGGAGGAAUACCAGAGGCGAAGGCGGCCUCCUGGGUCGCACCUGACGCUCAGACGCGAAAGCUAGGGGAGCGAACGGGAUUAGAAACCCCGGUAGUCCUAGCCGUAAACGAUGUAGACUUGGUGUCGGUUGAGUAAAAUCAAUCGGUGCCGUAGCCAACGCGAUAAGUCUACCGCCUGGGGACUACGGCCGCAAGGUUAAAACUCAAAGGAAUUGACGG
This 859-nucleotide ribosomal RNA is filed under the name uncultured Chloroflexota bacterium. Its description in RNAcentral is "bacterial SSU rRNA". It matches the Rfam family "Bacterial small subunit ribosomal RNA", at positions 38 to 916 of the family's 1533-position model. The record is from RNAcentral. Lineage: Bacteria; Bacillati; Chloroflexota.